ACUCCUACGGGAGGCAGCAGUGGGGAAUAUUGCACAAUGGGGGAAACCCUGAUGCAGCAACGCCGCGUGAGCGAUGAAGGCCUUCGGGUCGUAAAGCUCUGUCCUAAGGGAAGAAUAAUGACGGUACCUUAGGAGGAAGCCCCGGCUAACUACGUGCCAGCAGCCGCGGUAAUACGUAGGGGCAAGCGUUAUCCGGAAUUACUGGGCGUAAAGGGUGCGUAGGCGGCCAAUAAAGUCUGGGGUGAAAGGCUACGGCUCAACCGUAGUAAGCCUUGGAAACUUAUUGGCUUGAGUGCAGGAGAGGAGAGUGGAAUUCCUAGUGUAGCGGUGAAAUGCGUAGAUAUUAGGAGGAACACCAGUGGCGAAGGCGACUCUCUGGACUGUAACUGACGCUGAGGCACGAAAGCGUGGGGAGCGAACAGGAUUAGAUACCCUGGUAGGCUCU
Molecule: ribosomal RNA, 445 nt
Filed under: uncultured bacterium
Lineage: Bacteria
Description: bacterial SSU rRNA
Rfam family: Bacterial small subunit ribosomal RNA
Source: RNAcentral